CCUAUGGGAGGCAGCAGUGGGGAAUCUUCCACAAUGGACGAAAGUCUGAUGGAGCAACGCCGCGUGAGUGAAGAAGGCUUUCGGGUCGUAAAGCUCUGUUGUUGGUGAAGAAGGACAGGGGUAGUAACUGACCUUUGUUUGACGGUAAUCAAUUAGAAAGUCACGGCUAACUACGUGCCAGCAGCCGCGGUAAUACGUAGGGGGCAAGCGUUAUCCGGAUUUACUGGGUGUAAAGGGAGCGCAGGCGGUGCGGUAAGUCUGAUGUGAAAGCCUUCGGCUCAACCGGAGAAUUGCAUCAGAAACUGUCGAGCUUGAGUGCAGAAGAGGAGAGUGGAAUUCCAUGUGUAGCGGUGAAAUGCGUAGAUAUUAGGAGGAACACCAGUGGCGAAGGCGGCUUACUGGACGGUAACUGACGUUGAGGCUCGAAAGCGUGGGGAGCAAACAGGAUUAGAUACCCUGGUAGUCC
Molecule: ribosomal RNA, 466 nt
Filed under: Klebsiella pneumoniae subsp. pneumoniae
Lineage: Bacteria; Pseudomonadati; Pseudomonadota; Gammaproteobacteria; Enterobacterales; Enterobacteriaceae
Description: bacterial SSU rRNA
Rfam family: Bacterial small subunit ribosomal RNA
Source: RNAcentral